RNAcentral lists this ribosomal RNA (489 nucleotides) under uncultured bacterium. RNAcentral's name for it is "partial 16S ribosomal RNA". It matches the Rfam family "Bacterial small subunit ribosomal RNA", at positions 28 to 506 of the family's 1533-position model. The record is from RNAcentral.
GAUGAACGCUAGCGGCAGGCCUAAUACAUGCAAGUCGAACGGGAUUGCGGUAGUAGCUUGCUACUACUGCAUGAGAGUGGCGCACGGGUGCGUAACGCGUGAGCAACCUACCCAUAUCAGGGGGAUAGCCCGGCGAAAGUCGGAUUAACACCGCAUAACAUCAACAGUUCGCAUGUUCAGUUGAUUAAAUAUUUAUAGGAUAUGGAUGGGCUCGCGUGACAUUAGCUAGUUGGUAGGGUAACGGCUUACCAAGGCAACGAUGUCUAGGGGCUCUGAGAGGAGAAUCCCCCACACUGGUACUGAGACACGGACCAGACUCCUACGGGAGGCAGCAGUAAGGAAUAGUGGUCAAUGGGCGCAAGCCUGAACCAGCCAUGCCGCGUGCAGGAGGACUGCCCUAUGGGUUGUAAACUGCUUUUAUCAGGGAAUAAACCCCUUUACGAGUAGAGGGUUGAAUGUACCUGAAGAAUAAGGAUCGGCUAACUCCGU